This 433-nucleotide ribosomal RNA is filed under the name uncultured bacterium. RNAcentral's name for it is "partial 16S ribosomal RNA". It matches the Rfam family "Bacterial small subunit ribosomal RNA", at positions 29 to 507 of the family's 1533-position model. The record is from RNAcentral.
AACGAACGCUGGCGGCACGCCUAACACAUGCAAGUCGAACGAGACCUUCGGGUCUAGUGGCGCACGGGUGCGUAACGCGUGGGAACCUGCCCUUAGGUUCGGAAUAACUCCCCGAAAGGGGUGCUAAUACCGGAUAAUGUCUUCGGACCAAAGAUUUAUCGCCUUUGGAUGGGCCCGCGUUGGAUUAGCUAGUUGGUAGGGUAAAAGCCUACCAAGGCGACGAUCCAUAGCUGGUCUGAGAGGAUGAUCAGCCACACUGGGACUGAGACACGGCCCAGACUCCUACGGGAGGCAGCAGUGGGGAAUAUUGGACAAUGGGCGAAAGCCUGAUCCAGCAAUGCCGCGUGAGUGAUGAAGGUCUUAGGGUUGUAAAGCUCUUUUACCCGGGAUGAUAAUGACAGUACCGGGAGAAUAAGCUCCGGCUAACUCCGUG